This 253-nucleotide ribosomal RNA is filed under the name uncultured bacterium. RNAcentral describes it as "partial 16S ribosomal RNA". It matches the Rfam family "Bacterial small subunit ribosomal RNA", at positions 524 to 776 of the family's 1533-position model. The record is from RNAcentral.
CACGUAGGGCGCAAGCGUUGUCCGGAAUUAUUGGGCGUAAAGAGCUCGUAGGCGGUCUGUUGCGUCCGCUGUGAAAACCCGGGGCUUAACCCCUGGCUUGCAGUGGAUACGGACAGACUAGAGGUAGGUAGGGGAGAAUGGAAUUCCCGGUGUAGCGGUGAAAUGCGCAGAUAUCGGGAGGAACACCGGUGGCGAAGGCGGUUCUCUGGGCCUUACCUGACGCUGAGGAGCGAAAGCGUGGGGAGCGAACGGG